This 253-nucleotide ribosomal RNA is filed under the name uncultured bacterium. Its description in RNAcentral is "partial 16S ribosomal RNA". It matches the Rfam family "Bacterial small subunit ribosomal RNA", at positions 524 to 776 of the family's 1533-position model. The record is from RNAcentral.
UACGAAGGGUGCAACCGUUGCUCGGAAUUAUUGGGCGUAAAGCGCACGUAGGCGGCUUGGCAAGUCGGAUGUGAAAUCCCUCGGCUCAACCAAGGAAGUGCAUCCGAAACUGCCGAGCUUGAGUACUUAAGAGGAUCGCGGAAUUCCCGGUGUAGAGGUGAAAUGCGCAGAUAUCGGGAAGAACACCCGUGGCUAAGGCGGCUCUCUAGUACGGUACUGACGCUGAGACGCGAAAGCGUGGGGAGCGAACAGG